CAGCCGCCGCGGUAAAACGGAGGGGGCUAGCGUUGUUCGGAAUUACUGGGCGUAAAGCGCACGUAGGCGGCUUUGUAAGUUAGAGGUGAAAGCCCGGAGCUCAACUCCGGAAUUGCCUUUAAGACUGCAGAGCUAGCAGGUGAGAGAGGUGAGUGGAAUUCCGAGUGUAGAGGUGAAAUUCGUAGAUAUUCGGAAGAACACCAGUGGCGAAGGCGGCUCACUGGCUCAUACUUGACGCUGAGGUGCGAAAGCGUGGGGAGCAAACAGGAUUAGAUACCCGAGUAGUCCCUGUCUCUUAUAC
Molecule: ribosomal RNA, 301 nt
Filed under: uncultured bacterium
Lineage: Bacteria
Description: partial 16S ribosomal RNA
Rfam family: Bacterial small subunit ribosomal RNA
Source: RNAcentral